This 464-nucleotide ribosomal RNA is filed under the name uncultured bacterium. Its description in RNAcentral is "partial 16S ribosomal RNA". It matches the Rfam family "Bacterial small subunit ribosomal RNA", at positions 339 to 795 of the family's 1533-position model. The record is from RNAcentral.
CUACGGGGUGCUCCAGUGGGGAAUAUUGCACAAUGGGCGCAAGCCUGAUGCAGCCAUGCCGCGUGUAUGAAGAAGGCCUUCGGGUUGUAAAGUACUUUCAGCGGGGAGGAAGGGAGUAAAGUUAAUACCUUUGCUCAUUGACGUUACCCGCAGAAGAAGCACCGGCUAAGUCCGUGCCAGCAGCCGCGGUAAUACGGAGGGUGCAAGCGUUAAUCGGAAUUACUGGGCGUAAAGCGCACGCAGGCGGUUUGUUAAGUCAGAUGUGAAAUCCCCGGGCUCAACCUGGGAACUGCAUCUGAUACUGGCAAGCUUGAGUGUGGUAGAGGGGGGUAGAAUUCCAGGUGUAGCGGUGAAGUGCGUAGAGAUCUGGAGGAAUACCGGUGGCGAAGGCGGCCCCCUGGACGAAGACUGACGCUCAGGUGCGAAAGCGUGGGGAGCAAACAGGAUUAGAUACCCCUGUAGUC